CCUACGGGGGGCAGCAGUGGGGAAUAUUGCGCAAUGGGCGAAAGCCUGACGCAGCGACGCCGCGUGAGGGAUGAAGGUCUUCGGAUCGUAAACCUCUGUCAGCAGGGAAGAACGGUCACUGUGCUAAUCAGCAGUGAAUUGACGGUACCUGCAAAGGAAGCACCGGCUAACUCCGUGCCAGCAGCCGCGGUAAUACGGAGGGUGCGAGCGUUAAUCGGAAUUACUGGGCGUAAAGCGCUCGUAGGCGGUAUGUCAAGUCAAGGGUGAAAUCCCCGCGCUCAACGUGGGAACUGCCUUUGAAACUGGCAAACUGGAGUGUGUGAGAGGAUAGUGGAAUUCCAGGGGGAGGAGUGAAAGCCGUAGAUAUCUGGAGGAACAUCAGUGGCGAAGGCGACUAUCUGGCACAUAACUGACGCUGAGGAGCGAAAGCGUGGGUAGCAAACAGGAUUAGAUACCCCAGUAGUC
This 465-nucleotide ribosomal RNA is filed under the name uncultured bacterium. Its description in RNAcentral is "partial 16S ribosomal RNA". It matches the Rfam family "Bacterial small subunit ribosomal RNA", at positions 338 to 795 of the family's 1533-position model. The record is from RNAcentral.